AUACGGAGGGUGCAAGCGUUACUCGGAAUCACUGGGCGUAAAGCGCGCGCAGGCGGUCUUUUAAGUUGGAUGUGAAAGCCUACGGCUCAACCGUAGAACUGCAUCCAAAACUAUUAGACUAGAGUGUGGGAGAGGAAGAUGGAAUUAGUUGUGUAGGGGUAAAAUCCGUAGAGAUAACUAGGAAUACCAAAAGCGAAGGCAAUCUUCUGGAACACUACUGACGCUCAGGCGCGAAAGCGUGGGGAGCAAACAGGAUUAGAAACCCUAGUAGUCC
Molecule: ribosomal RNA, 274 nt
Filed under: uncultured bacterium
Lineage: Bacteria
Description: partial 16S ribosomal RNA
Rfam family: Bacterial small subunit ribosomal RNA
Source: RNAcentral